This 497-nucleotide ribosomal RNA is filed under the name uncultured bacterium. RNAcentral describes it as "partial 16S ribosomal RNA". It matches the Rfam family "Bacterial small subunit ribosomal RNA", at positions 28 to 507 of the family's 1533-position model. The record is from RNAcentral.
GAUGAACGCUGGCGGCGUGCCUAAUACAUGCAAGUCGAGCGAACAGAUGAGGAGCUUGCUCCUCUGACGUUAGCGGCGGACGGGUGAGUAACACGUGGAUAACCUACCUAUAAGACUGGGAUAACUUCGGGAAACCGGAGCUAAUACCGGAUAAUAUAUUGAACCGCAUGGUUCAAUAGUGAAAGACGGUUUUGCUGUCACUUAUAGAUGGAUCCGCGCCGCAUUAGCUAGUUGGUAAGGUAACGGCUUACCAAGGCAACGAUGCGUAGCCGACCUGAGAGGGUGAUCGGCCACACUGGAACUGAGACACGGUCCAGACUCCUACGGGAGGCAGCAGUAGGGAAUCUUACGCAAUGGGCGAAAGCCUGACGGAGCAACGCGGCGUGAGUGAUGAAGGUCUUCGGAUCGUAAAACUCUGUUAUUCGGGAAGAACAAAUGUGUAAGUAACUAUGCACGUCUUGACGGUACCGAAUCAGAAAGCCACGGCUAACUACGUG